RNAcentral lists this ribosomal RNA (492 nucleotides) under uncultured bacterium. Its description in RNAcentral is "partial 16S ribosomal RNA". It matches the Rfam family "Bacterial small subunit ribosomal RNA", at positions 29 to 507 of the family's 1533-position model. The record is from RNAcentral.
AGUGAACGCUGGCGGCAUGCCUAACACAUGCAAGUCGAACGGCAGCACAGUAAGUGGUUGCUCGUACGGGUGGCGAGUGGCGGACGGGUGAGGUAUACACCGGAAUCUACUUUUGCGUGGGGGCGAACGUAGGGAAACUUAUGCUAAUACCGCAUACGACCUGCGGGUGAAAGCACGGGAUCUUUGGACCUUUCGGGAUGGAAUGAGCCGAUGUCGGAUUAGCUAGUUGGCGGGGUAAAGGCCCACCAAGGCGACGAUCCGGAGCUGGUCUGAGAGGAUGACCAGCCACACUGGAACUGAGACACGGCCCAGACUCCUACGGGAGGCAGCAGUGGGGAAUAUUGGACAAUGGGCGAAAGCCUGAUCCAGCAAUACCGCGUGUGUGAAGAAGGCCUUCGGGUUGUAAAGCACUUUUGUCGGGAAAGAAAAGCAGCACGUUAAUACGGUGCUGUUAUGACGGUACCCGAAGAAUAAGCACCGGCUAACUUCGUG